This 497-nucleotide ribosomal RNA is filed under the name uncultured bacterium. RNAcentral describes it as "partial 16S ribosomal RNA". It matches the Rfam family "Bacterial small subunit ribosomal RNA", at positions 28 to 507 of the family's 1533-position model. The record is from RNAcentral.
GAUGAACGCUGGCGGCGUGCCUAAUACAUGCCAGUCGAGCGAACGGACGAGACGCUUGCUUCUCUGUUGUUAGCGGCGGGCGGGUGAGUCACACGUGGAUACCCUCCCUAUCAGACUGGGAUCACUUCGGGACACCGGCUCUAAUCCCGUAUAAUCUUUUGAACCGCAUGGUUCAAAAGUAAGAUACGGUCUUGCUGGCCCUUCUAGAUGCAUCCGCGCUGCAUUGGCUGGUUGGUAAGGUAACGGCUUACCAAGGCAACGAUGCAUAGACGACCGGAGGGGGUGAUAGGCCACACGGGAACUGAGACACGGUCCAGACUACUACGGGAGGCAGCAGUAGGGAACCUUACGCAAUGGGCGAAAGCCUGACGGAGCAACGCCGCGUGAGUGACGGAGGCGUUCGGAGCGUAAAACUCUGUUAUGAGGGAAGAACAUAUGUGGAAGGAAAUGUGCACAGAUUGACGGUACCUAAUAAGAAAGCCACGGCUAACUACGUG